Molecule: unclassified non-coding RNA, 341 nt
Filed under: soil metagenome
Description: partial contains 5.8S ribosomal RNA, internal transcribed spacer 2, and large subunit ribosomal RNA
Rfam family: 5.8S ribosomal RNA (bases 1-120)
Source: RNAcentral
GAUGAAGAACGUAGUGAAAUGCGAUAAGUAGUGUGAAUUGCAGAAUUCAGUGAAUCAUCGAAUCUUUGAACGCGCAUUGCGUCCUUUGGUAUUCCAAAGGGCAUGCCUGUUCGAGCGUCAUUUGUACCCUCAAGCUUUGCUUGGUGUUGGGCGUCUUGUCUCUAGCUUUGCUGGAGACUCGCCUUAAAGUAAUUGGCAGCCGGCCUACUGGUUUCGGAGCGCAGCACAAGUCGCACUCUCUAUCAGCAAAGGUCUAGCAUCCAUUAAGCCUUUUUUUCAACUUUUGACCUCGGAUCAGGUAGGGAUACCCGCUGAACUUAAGCAUAUCAAUAAGCGGAGGA